This 30974-nucleotide long non-coding RNA is filed under the name Oryza sativa (Asian cultivated rice). RNAcentral describes it as "long non-coding RNA (OSAT_LNC000166)". The stretch from base 5641 to 5806 matches the Rfam family "Bacterial small subunit ribosomal RNA", at positions 920 to 1378 of the family's 1533-position model. The record is from RNAcentral. Lineage: Eukaryota; Viridiplantae; Streptophyta; Magnoliopsida; Poales; Poaceae.
UCCUGAUCUCUAAUACCGGUACUACGUCCUUGCCAAGAAUUACCAUAGGCCGGUCUUUCUUUGAAAUAGUCCUCUCACGCAUAUUCCUUUACUACCAAAGUAAUGCAUAUCCGGGGACCUUUUCAACAUACUUCUUUUCCUCUAUCAAAAAGCCAAUACCGACGCUCGCUUAUCAGCUUACCAGUUCAAACGGGUUUUAAAGUAGGUUCUACACAUUCGAGAAGACCCAGGCGGAUUGGAGUGGUUGUGCGCCGGGGCAAUCUCUGCUUGCAUUUCGCAUUGGAAUUUCAAGUACUAAGACAGGGGAGAGAUCUUUAUAAGGAAGGCUUGCAUCUGAAAAUAGUAGUAGUAGUCUAAGGAGUGAUUUGUACUGGAAAAACCUGCCAAUGGGAGCAUAGCUGGUCUUUAUUGUCCGCUCACUUCCUUCAAUCAAAGCAAGGGUUGUCUUUCCAGGAACUAGCAAACCAAACAAGCAGGCUAGCAAAACUAGGAUAAAGUUUGAUCCACCACUUACACUGGAAGGGCAAGAACUAAUGCUUAUGCGUAUUCUUCCACGGCAUAUAGAUGGUUAACUACUCCAACUCGAUGGCUGAGAGAAAAGUGAAAUCCUAGCUUGGAUAAGAAUCAUACGCUGCGAAUGAGCAGACGAAUCGACCGAGGGCUUACACACAAGAACAGAACCUAACUCUACUUCUUUUUCCUCCUUUCCUCUUUACUGCCCCCGCUAUACUAUCAACAGGUCAGUCAAUAUCGCAUCACAUCACCUAAAAGACUGAUAUCCAGCUCCAUAUAAUCCAACAAUUGGGCUCUAUUCUCCUGAAGAGAAGACACUUGAACUUCGUCAUGUGCUAUUGAGCCUUUUGAACCUAAGUGCGGACAUAAAGUCUUAGCCAAUGUUUCUAUACUAUUAGGGAGUAGAGUGUAUGAAUCUCGAUUUGACAUGACAGAGAGAGACUGUCAUCGCCAUCUCUUUGGACAUGCAUGUGUUAAGCAAAUGGACUGAACUGGUUUCUUCAGCCCUUUUUCUAUGUGUUGGUGUUCUAUAUGACCGACAUAAGACUCAACUUGUUAGAUAUUAUGGAGGUUUAGUGAGCACCAUGCCGAAUUUCUCUACCAUUUUCUUCUUUUUCACUUUAGCCAAUAUGAGUUUACCCGGCACUAGCAGCUUUAUUGGGGAAUUUCUAAUCUUAGUAGGAGCUUUCCAAAGAAAUAGCUUAGUAGCCACAUUAGCAGCGCUUGGGAUGAUUUUAGGCGCGGCGUAUUCCCUUUGGCUAUAUAAUCGUGUGGUUUCUGGAAAUUUAAAACCUGAUUUCCUCUAUAAAUUCUCCGAUCUAAAUGGCAGAGAAGUUUCCAUAUUUCUACCUCCAACAGACCGACAAGGAAUGAAGUCAACCUUAGAAAGUAGCCGAUGGGAGGUUUGAUCGGUUAAUGUGGAAAGACAACCCUUGCUUUGAUUGAAGGAAGUGAGCGGACAAUAAAGACCAGCUAUGCUCCCAUUGGCAGAAAUAAGGAUUGAUCGGGUAGUCCCGAUCGGUCCCGAUCAGUUAAUCCCGGAAGUCAUCUGCCACAAUGUCGGGAGCAUACCUCAUCAAGUUGUCGCAUUUCAUAUUGUAGUCCUGAACAGUACCACUCCCUUGUUUUAGGCUAACGAAUUGCUGUCGAAGCGCUUCCCGAGACAUCACAUCUAAAUACUGAUCAUUGAAUUCUCGCUCGAACCACGCCCAAGGAAUGGUUGGAUUUGAACCAUCAUUAUCUCCAUUAUGUCUCUUCUUUGCCUCCUGCCACCAAAAAGGAGAAAGUUUUCUCCCUUUUCACAUAACCGAGAAAAAAGGAAAAGUUACCCUACUACAUGUAUUAGCUAGUUUUGUCUAGUCAACAUCUAACGCUCAUUUCACUAUGGGAUUUAUUUACUCCGAUUGCUUCUACUCUCUUACAGCUGGGUGCGCCUAUAAGGAAGACUUUUCAUAGAUUGACUUUGGGCAGGCAAGUUGAACUAUCCGGCUUCCCUUAAAGUAUUCACUUUUCCAGGAGCCGACUUACCAGUUAGUACUGGCACUUUUACAGGAACAGUACCAGAGACUCAUCUCGUAAGAAGACAUUUUCAAUUAGACACUACUAGUCGAGGACUGCGAACUCAACUAGAUAUUCUGCACAUUCCAGUUUACCUUUUUAAAUCUUUUUUUAACUCCCCGAGCUACUACUCUGUAGAUUAACUAGUGUCUCCGAUUGCUUGGAUGAACAGAGCUCUCUUCUCUCCCAAUAUGUUUAUUUGACGGAGUCUAGUGCGUAUUCAUUUUCUUCAAGUCUUGGAUUCAAAAGGUUUUUUCCGGUGUAGGAUUCUUCCUACCCAACUUUGGCCAUUGAAGAAUGAGUCUUUGCUUUGUCCCCCGGGAUCCACCACAGGUUGGGUUUGAGAGCCGUGUGAUGGGUGACUAUCUAGCACGGUUCAGAGAGCACGUGUAUGUAGUCUGCGCUGGUGAAUACCACACGUGCAAGUUUCCCUGCAUGUGGCUCGUCCGUGAUAACUUCUUCGGAUUUGCCUGAACUAGCGGACCGAUCACUAAGUGGUUGCUUUCGCUGAUCGGCGCUAGUCUUUCCUGCUGUGAAUUUCCCAGGUCGAGAGGGGCCCUUUCCUUCUACCUUACUGAACCCAUUCACCAAUGAUUGGAGCCCUUUCACUAGUGGUUACUCCCGAUCCGAAGCACCCCUUUUCCAUUCAUAGAGAAAUCCAAUCGUCAAAAUCAAUAAAAAGGCCAUCAUGGACCAAGAUCCAAACAGAUCAAUCUUGUUAGGAGGUACUGCCCAAGGAAAAAAAAGGUGACUUCCUGAUCAGGGAUAAUAAAUAAAAUAGGAACCGGAUAAAAUCGUAUAUCGAAACGACUUCUGGCAUCACCGGAGGGAUUGAAACCACGUUCGUAGGCCGACAAUUUUUCUGGAUAGGUCGAACUAUUGGAAGCAAAUGGAAAAGGAACACCGAGUGGAAUCAAAGAAACUAGCGGACUGAUCACUAAAUAGAUACAAAUAGGUGCAAAUUCCGACAAAAAUGCACUUUCAUAGCCAUUUAUCGUGAUAGCGUAACUGCCAAAUCAUCCAAGUAAGGAAAUCGAUAAGCACGAAGAUUUCUCUCAAAGACGAGAAUAUCAUUCAGUCUUGAGAAAUGCAUGUGAAUGAGGAGCCGGUAUAAAUCGUAGGAACUCUUUGGAAGAACGAAUAACCACUGGGAUAAAAUGCCCCAAUGGAGCUUACGUUCUGAAUAUAUCCUCCUUGCUCGUAAGCAGGAAAGAUGAUAUUUCUCCAAACUGAAAUUAACAUAAGAUCAUUGGUUCACGAAGGGUAGAUUUCGCAGAUUUGACUGAACACAGAUAAACUAUAAACGAAAAUAGAGAACUGGAUGCGGUUAAGCAUACCACUUCGGAAAAGUGGAAAGGCACGGUGUUAAACCAUAGGCCUUUAACGGAACUCGAUCACUUAUUAGACCGAUAUAUGAACGGCAACCUCUUUAGCUUUUCCACUCCCUCACCACACCAACCACUGUGUGAUACUGAACACCCACACAAUCUCGAUUUAAAAGAGAGAGACUGUAAGGCUAGAAUUGGUUCACACAUAUGUGUGGGGGCCGGUCCAAUCACUCGGUAGAUCACGCUAUUAUGUCACCUUCAUUGAUGAUGCGACUCGGAAGGUAUCCAGCUGUUACGAACUAUCAGAUAGUCAAGAAUUGACAGGAAUGAAGGGAAUUGAUUUCAGGGAUCAGAUAAAGAGGGAAUUUAUGAAAUAAGAGUUACGAGAACAACUAGUCGAACGGAAGCAUUAGUUUCUCUACGAGAUGGAGAUGGCUCAUUCUCUAGUUUUCCUACGAGAUAUAAGUCAGUUUCUAACGUACUUUGAAGUUCAGGAAGGAGUUAUUAAUUAAGACGAAGAAGAACCCUCGCUUGGCUUUGUCCCGAACCAAGGAGGCAUGAUGGCGGGCGCGUGCGUGUGCCGACUGCAGAGACUACAAGCCGACGCCGGAAGCAUCGCUUUCUUUCUUCUCCCUCCAUUUUAUUCACUACUACCGCUUCUACACAUAAAUCAAAGAAGCAUUGUGGAAUAGUGGCAUUUCAUUAAUGUCGAAAAUGUUCUUAGUGAAAGGGUUGCCUUCCUUCUUUUCAAUAAGAAGAAGUAUUUGAAAUGAAACAAAUUCCUCUUCAUUCUGUUGUGCUCAGCGAAGGAACUGCGUAAGCAUACUUUUGCGGCACCAUUGGCCGAAGCAGACCUGGAAGCUGAUCUGCGAGUGAAUGAAAUUGAACGAUUAAUAUCGCCUUUCAUGCUAAAAUCGGACGAUUUCGACCUUACGUUCACGAUACUCCUUCCUGUCCUUGCGAUGUUUGGUUAAGUGUUAUCAAUCAGCUUUACUCUUCUUCCAGCAUUCUUCUAAGGUUUGCCUCUAACGAUGGUUGAAUAGCUCCUGUUGUUUUUAUUCCAUUGAAUUGAUUUCAUGAACUUCCCUCAAGCUGAAACCGGAACGGGAUUGUCAUUUAGCUUCAAUUUCUUCAGUCUCACAAGCGGGUCCGCAUGCAACAAAAGAAAUUGUAUUUGCCUACUACUCCGACCUCAGGAAUGCAAGCAAGCGAGGCCAGAACAAGGAGUGUCAAGAAAAACAGUAGCCGUUUACUCACAAGCUAACACGAAGCACGAAACACAUGGAUUCUCUGAGAACCGGACUGACCCAACCAAGCAAUCACUUGAGCCAUUCACACCUUGGAAGAGCUAUUCAAAGGUUUUCUGGCUGACUAUGAGGACACCUCUGCAUCCCAGGAGCAGACCGCUCCCCCGGAAUCUGUGGUCAGUCAAGAGCGGCAUCCGAAUCCCGCUCCGAUUCAACCUUGACCCCAGGGAUCUCCUCUCCCCAACUACACUAGGCUCAAGGUGGAAUAACGAAAGGAGGGUGCGUGCGAUAGCUAACCGAUUGAAGGAAAUUCCUCGCCUAUCUUAUUCUUUUUCAGUUCCGAUCAUCAUUAUACGAUCCAAGUCGUGGAAAAGCCGAGUGGGAAAGCCGAAACCGAGGUAACUUAGGCGUAGGUCAAAGCACGGGCAUGGAAAAGGGAUUAUAUGGCGUGCUGGGCUGGAUGAAAGAAGCAACUACGCCCCUGGUACAUUUCAACGCCCAUGAAUUCUAUAUUUCAGCAGUAUCUGAGGCCAUAGCUCUCAACUCAGCUUCAGCACUCGAGCGGGACACUGCAGUCUGCUUCUUGGUUUUCCAAAGGUCCGGAGGAGCGGAAGAGUUUAUAGUCGAGAAGGGUCGGGCAUUAGCAAAUCCUUCAAUCCCAACUCUUGAAAAGAAGCAUUUCCUCCUGAUUGUCCACCUUUUCGGAGAAAGAAGCACAUCACUUAUACGAGAUUCUGAAAUGAUUGUUAUCUCUAGGCACAUCUUAUGGGCGGAUGUUGCUCCUCGGAAAACGCGUAUAGUAGUCUCAUUGGCCUUCGUCGAUGGGACAAACGCUCCAGUGUAUGCGUUACAAGGCAACUAGCAUGUUGGAUUAGAAGUUCGUGAAAGUAUGUUCUCAUUUUUCGUUGGAACAACCAACCAUUUUCUUCUCCAAGUUGAGGUUCAGGGUUCGGCGGGGUGUGGCUUGUGGAUGGCUCUCCCCGAUCUGGAACAGCCCCGAAUACGUGUUCCAGGGGAACUUCCGGAAUUGAAUAAGGGUCAAAACGGGGCUGUUCCCCUUGCGGCACCUCUCAGUUCGGAUUGUUCUCUGCAACUCGGGAACAUGAAGUUGAAAUCGCUAGUAAUCGCGGAUCAGCAUGCCGCGGUGAAUAUGUACCCGGGCCCUUCCUUUGUUCCUCUUCCUUCUGCGCAGAUACUUUUGAUCCACUCCUUUCCUAUACCGCGCCCUCUGCCUAUUACGGUCGAUACCCAGAAAGUUGCCGACUACUUUUUUUCAUAAGGGGGGAAGCGAAGCUUAGUGAGCUUAGAGCGAUUUCCUCACAAAAAAAGCACGAGCGAGAUAUUCAUCCUUAACAGGGAUCUCAAUUGCGGGAAGAAGAUUUUUUCUUCAGGAUGGAGCGCAUCAGAUAUUAACAUUUUUGGAUUACUUUUUUCGGGGUUAAUCUGACCUUCUUUCCCAUGCAUUUCUUAGGGCUUUCGGGCAUGCCACAUCGCAUUCCAGAUUAUCCAGAUGCUUACGCCGGAUGGAAUGCUCUGAGCACUCUCAACGGAUCCUCCACGCGCUGCGCUGGGCAUACCAUAGUUCUUCCGUGCGUCUUUAUCGUGGCGGAAACAGAACAAGAGGGAAAGACCCGGCUGGCUCAUUCCAUUGAUAAGCUCAUCGGGCUGCUCGUCGUUAGGAAGAGAAAGUCCUACUGCUGUAACCGCAACAUCAAGCAAGUAGGAUCGGGAUUCAGAUGUUCAAUAAAUAGGUUUGUUAGAAGAGACAGGAAUUUAUUCUUUAUUAGUGCAUGCCUUUUUUUUUGUGAUUCGAGCAGUUCUUGUCACGAGAUGAUGGGCCAGAGAAAAGUUUGAUAGGAAAGGAAGGUGGGGCACUUCGUUGCUGGGCUGGAAUAGAAACUGACGUAUGGAGGACUUGUGAGAUCUUUCACUCUUCGACAACGAAAGCCUUGAGGACGUCAGCGAUGUGUUAUAGGGACGUCAACGAAAGCUAGUAGGGAACUGCAACCAGAGAGAGAGUUCUAGUGAGUCCAGACUCUUUCUUUCGUUCAUCAAAGCGAAGCAUGGCUGCAAUCCCAAACUCAUCCUUUUUUCCGCGAGCAAUCUACGUUUGUGAUCUCGUAUAUUUCGCUUCUCCGACAUCUUACUUAGUUUCCCCCUCAUAUUUUAGCAAAAAGCCGCUCCACAGUAGUAAAGUCUCAUCUUUUGUAUUGGCCGAAGUGACAAUAGUCACAUUACAAAGCAGAGCCCUCGUGAAUACACGUACCAUUAAUGAAGGAACAGCUAGUACUAAUUAUAUGAGGGAAUACUAAUUAUCUAUUCUUAUGUAUUCUCUCACAAUCACUCCUAGCAAUAAGUGAAAAGGCGGCUAUCGAUACUGUCCCAACAACCUCCUCUCAAUUGAUCCCUCGUUACUGCCCAUAGGAGAAGUAAUAGGUAGGGAUGACAGGAUUUGAACCCGUGACAUUUUGUACCCAAAACAAACGCGCUACCAAGCUGCGCUACACUCGUGAAGGUAAUGAAAUUAUCCGAUCAGCUUGCAAAUGGAGUCCUGAACUAGCCAGGUCUCGUUCUUAUAUGCUACCUAGAAUUAUUUAGAACUUAAAUCUUUAAGCAUGUGCUUAGUCAAGGAGGAAACUACUAAAGAACAAAGAAGUCGUCUUUGGUCAGUGAACCAACUUUUGCCGAGCCCCAUUGCCAACUCUAAAUUACAUUCAUUUCACCAGUCCGCCAAUCCAAUUAGGAUUCCCAUCGGUUGCAUCGCUCCUGCUCGCAGUAGUCGUUUCUUCUCCGGUGAAUCAAUUUCUUCUAAACAGAAUAAGGGCGGCAUCCUGCUCUCGACUAUCUCUGCCGCGGAAUGGGAUCGCUUGCCAGCUAGGCCCUCUAGAAAAAAGUUGGAGCAACAUUGUAUGAACUCUCGGGUUUGGAACAGAUAAGUUCUGUACGGAUAACAAAGAAUAGAAAUUGGAGAGCAGGUGCCCUUCCCUGGUUGUUACCUUCCCAGCCCCAAAGGAAAAGCCCUGAUCAUUUGAAAAAAAAGAAGCCAUGCAUGCCGACACGUUUUAACAGAUCAGUAGCAUACUUCUCUUGAGUCAAGAUAAUUCCAUCAUGAACUUUAUUAACUUCUAUGCCCAAGAAAUAGUGCAACGCACCAAGAUCCUUAAGGGCAAAUUCUUCUUUCAAAUCUUGAAGUAAUGCCGAAGUUGCUUUUUCACAAGAACUAGCAACAAUGAUGUCAUCAACAUAUAUCAACACAAAUAUGGAGAUUGUACCUUUCUUGUAAAAGAAGAGCGAAGCAUCUGCUUUUGACGGUUGAAAUCCAAGCCUAGCUCGUUAUUCUUUGAGAUAUGGAUAGAGUCUCGCUUCGGGGCGGGGGAAGCAGCAAGCGUAGGCUAAAAAGAGGUGGGUCGGUUUAGUCAUCAGCUCAAGAGGACAGGGGAGAGAUAGGAGACAAAAAGAGGCAAAGUGAGGCCCGCCCAAGCAAGUGGUUUGUUUUUGAGAGAGAAGUGUUUUCUUUGGAAAAGAAGAGCUCUUUCUAAGUUGACUUGCUCUGUUCGUCCGCUGUCAGAUCAAAACGGGUAGGGAUCGGCCCAGCCUAGAACAACUCGCUUCUCAUAAAAACGAAUCCCUUUGUGCCUGGAAGAAAUGCAAAGGGGAAUGCUGGGUCAGAGCCAAAGAAUGUGAACUAUACAAGUUCACAAUACCCUUUGAUGAAAUGAAAGAAAGGGUUCCGGUGUAUAGAGAGGGCCUGCGGACGGCUGUCCGAAGUGCAUGCAAUGACGGGCUCGGAUAGGAUAGGGUUGUGCGUGCCGGGCCCUUCGGGUGUCCAUAUUUUGGCCGACCCAUCCUAGUCUUUUGCGACACAGCUGGUUUACUUAUUUUGUUAGGUCUCGACUUCUCCGCUAUGAUCUCCCCAGUAGUUCAUAUAGGAGCUAUUGCCGUUUCAUUCCUAAGCAAGCUGGAGCACCUUUCACUCUCGGGCAUAAAGGCUUUUAUCCAAUUCAUUCACAGGAAGGGUAGAAGGAGCUUCAAAGCUUUUAGCCGGCGUUGGAGCUCAGACGGUGCAGUUAGUAUUGACCACUACCGCCAAGUCCAUAAUUAAAAAAUUGAUGAAGUCCACAUAAUGGAGCUCAAAAGCCGAUUAAAAAAUCUACUUUUUGAGCAUCUUGAAACCGCACAUAAAAAAUAUUAUGAAUGAAUCACCUUACAAUAACAUACGAGAGACAGCUUUCGAUUUUUUCGAACAACAAGUCGAACCCAAUGAACAAUUCCAUUCAAAGGAAUGUUCUAGAGGGGGCCCUUUUCCGCUAUAUUCGCGAUAUUGAACAAAAUGGAAGAAAUUCUUCACGAUUUCUAGAGUUCCGGGAUUACUUCACGGAAGAUCGGGUUAAAAAAUUCUAAAGCUUUCGUCUCAAUUCAUAUUUAGCCGCGAGCAAUCUACGUUUGUGAUCUCGUAUAUUUCGCUUCUCCGACAUCUUACUUAGUUUCCCCCUCAUCUUUUAGCAAAAAGCCGCUCCACAGUAGUAAAGUCUCAUCUUUUGAAUUGGCCGAAGUGACAAUAGUCACAUUGAACCCUCGAAUAUGCUCGAAGAUCUCGAAAUGAUCUUCCAGUUCCGGGGAGAAUUCGCAAAACUCCGUUUCCAUAAAGAAUGCUAAAUGACAAUCUGAACCUACUUGCUUACAGGAUCUUUAAGAAAACUGUGGACUUUUGCACCUUUCUGUCUAGCUUGAGUUAUCUUUUAGUUCUCUCCCCUCGGCAAAGUGGAUAGGAAAGAGUCUUGCAGGUUGAUCAACAAGUAAAUCCUCCCGGAUAUGAAAAGACAAGAUCAAUAUGUCAGCUAGCUUACUAAUACGGCAGCUGCUUAAACUCAUGCUGUACCUACAUAUCUCAUUUGGCUAUCCUUACCUAUUGGCUAUCCCAGGUGACCUUACACCUAAUGGACUAAUGCCAAGCUUGAAACUCCUAUGUAGAGGGAGCUAUCUCGCCUAUGUUUACGUUGCAAUGCUACUCCUCUGUUCUGUUUCUAGUGCGGUUAUGUGUAUUACAAGUUUUAAUAAGAGCGCACUACUCAUCCCAUGGGAGAUGGAGCCAUAGAGAAAUCCAAUCGUCAAAAUCAAUAAAAAGGCCAUCAUGGACCAAGAUCCAAACAGAUCAAUCUUGUUAGGAGGUACUGCCCAAGGAAAAAAAAAGGUGACGUUAUGGUAUUGACUACGAAGAGACUUUCAGUCCUGUAGUCAAGGCGGCCACAAUUAGACUAAUAUUGUCACUAGCAGUCGAUGACAUAGAUAGAGCCUCCUUCUUUGAUCCAUUCAUUGAUAACAAUCAAUAAACAUCUUCAACCAAUCCAAUACAAAUACUGAAAAAGAAGCAGUCUACCAACUUUUCUUUCACAAGGCCGCAGGCGCAAGGGAUGAGCGUGAAAUCCGUUGCUUGUUCUUUCGGUAGCCUUCUUUCAUUUCCGAAUUAGCUUGCGAGCAGUCCUUGCAUUAGUAUGAGUUCGUUGACCGCAUAAGGGCGAACAAAACGGAAUGUACCGGAUUUUUAGCACGUACAACCAUCAAACCAGAGACCAAAGCAGGGCUCGACAAAACUGAAAGUAUCAUGGUACGUCGUCCUCCCUUGAAAUGGAACUUGAAUGCUGGAGCAAGAAGACGCAUUCAAGUCGAUCUUAUUGCAUCACCCACACCUAAUUACAACAGUUGAAUGCUGUAUUUGCAUUUUGAUAUUGUACAUAGCUAUUUACUUCUAUUAUAAAUGUACCCUUGGUCGGAACUAGUUUUUUCGCUUUUUUAGCCGAUUUUUUACCUUUUUUGGACCCAUUCUAUAAAUGGAUGGAAGAAAUUAAACCAAUUCUUUCCCGCCAUAGGCGAAAAGUACUAAUUUUUAAUUCGCCUAAGGAAUUGGCAUUUUUCCGGGUUGUUUUAAAAAACAUUUGUUCCAGCCAUAGCGAAAAGUACUGAAAAUUCACUUUCCCUCGUAAAAAGGAAAAAACUGGGUGCAGAAAAAGGAAACUUUCUGUCCAGUCUGUGGCAAAAGUAAUACUUUUUCCAUUUUCCUUCGCGAUCGACCUUUCGGAUUUUAUAAACUAAGGAACCUGGUGAAAAAAGCAACCCUAUUAUUCCUGAGCAAAAGAAAGCUUACUACAGCACGGUCUUACGUCCAGGAUUGGAACAUUCCAUCUCUUCUUGUCCACUGGUAUAGAAAGAAUAUGCAUUUUCUUGACUGCUUAUUCAACGCCCUGCCGACUUGGAUACUGCUGGCUCUCUUGCAUUACGUGAUAGAAAUGAAAUGACAGAAGAACAAAGCAAGGGCUUUCAAUGCGCGAAAUCCGUUUCGAGUUAGAGUGCGAAACUUCUUGCUGCAGCCGUUUUAUUCGCUGCCAAUUGCACAUCAGGAGAAGAUGUCACUACAGAUCCUGCAACCUCAAGAGGGAGCAGCCUGUCCGUCCUAUUUAAAAGACUUUGGAUUUUUUUCUCCGGGGAUCGAGGUCUCAUUAGCCGAAGAAGACCCAGGCCAAUCCACGUGGCCUCUUUGACCAACGUCAGCGACAGAGACAUAGUAAAUUGGUCCGCGGGCAUCGCGAUAAGUCCUCUGUCCUACUACAGGUGCUGCGACAACCUUUACCAAGUCCAAACGAUUGUCAACUACCAGAUCCGCUGGUCCGCUAUAUUCACCCUAGCCAGCUAUCUCCUUUAUGAGUUUCUUCCUUUCUGAAAGUCACCACAGUGGAGAGUUACUAUCGACUUUCUCCAUGUGCCACUCGCCAGGGUUGAGUUGAGGGGGCAGCCCGUGCGCUAAUUGGGCUUCGAGGUUGGCUAUACGCGAAAAAAGCUCGCUUUCUACUGAGCUGUCCUAAACUGUUCCAGAAUGUUAUUUGUUUCAUAGGAAGAUUCCAAAAGCACAUUGUGAUGCCGAAAGAAUCUUCGUCGCCCUCAUUCCGUAGUUGAGUUCUUUCGCAUUUCUCGUAUAGUUUUUCGUGGAUUAGCAUCUCGAGGUUCUUUGAUGGGCAUAAAGAAAUUGUCUUGCUAGCAACCACCAAACCAAUAGAACAAAGGUUAGCUCUGCAGCUAGUCCACAUCUAUUUGUGCAUUCAAUGCUGCCAUUCCCCCGGCCCCAAAGGACAAGAUUGAGUCGCCGCUAUCACUUUUUUUGGGGGGCCAAUCCCGCGAAGAGUUAUGGAAAGAUUUUAUAGCUCGUCACAAGAAAGGAUUGAUGGUCGAGUCCCCGUGCAUGAAGUCAGUGGAUUCGAGUGAACUGACCGUACUACAAAUCGACAUACUUGAGGAAGCUUCUUACUAAACCAAAGAAAGGGCAGCUCCAGUUGUAUUGUCGAUUCCCUUCUCCCGAGAGCUUUCACACUCUGGGAUGGGAGUCCCUUCCAAGACUUGACCAAAAGCUUAUCUCUUGAAUCUAAAUUUAACAUUUUCCAAAACGCGGCUAGACCGAGGCAGAGCAAGAAUCGAGUUCCGUUAAAGGCCUAUGGUUUAACACCAUGCCUUUCCACUUUUCCGAAGUGGUAUGCUUAACCGCAUCCAGUUCUCUAUUUUCGUUUAUAGUUUAUCUGUGUUCAGUCAAAUCUGCGAACUCGACUAGAUAUUCUGCACAGGCCCUGGUGGGUUCUCCAUAGCGGAAGCAACCUCUGGGCCUUCCACAAAAAAAAACGAAAACAAACCAGAGAAGGAUCCAAUUAGAGUAGAGGAAAAAGCCUCCCUCCUCCUUCUGACAAUAUAAAGUCCCAAAAAAAUGAGGGAAAUAAAAAUAAAAAUAAGGUAAGGUCUAUCGGUCCACAAACUGCAGCCCAGGACGGGCGUCGUCAUCUAGGCGUGACUUCUUGUUUUGAUCUCCCCUACGCCUAGGACGUAGUCUGGGCCAAGAGCCAUAGUUAGUUGCUGUUUCCAUUUGGUUCUUCUUUCUCGUUGUUGAUACCGGCAAGACCCGAAUAGAAGAAGAGCAGUCGUCAAUUGAUUGAAAGUGGAUUGACGGCAUUCAUCAGUUGAUUGAAAAUGGACUUUUCUUUUAUGAUCGAGCGAGGUCCGUUUUUGGGCUUAAAAGUCCUUGUAAGCUUAUGCCUCAUCAUGGUUGGGAAGGUUAUAGUAGCUUCAGUCAUUGGAAUUACUCUAUUUCUAUAUAUAGGCCUUAUCCUUUUUGUUAUUGCGUUAUGGUAGAGGGAAAGAGAAAAGAAAGAAGAGAAAUUGGGCCAUGUUUCCCGAGAGAGACUGCCUUCUCUCAGGCCAGCAGUCUUAUACUUAUAGUCGACUGCUCUAUGACGAUCUGACCUCUUUCCUGGGCUCUGCUCGCUCGUCUACGCUCCUACCAAUUCAAGAGCAAUUCAAAUGCUUUGAUUGCUUAUCAGAUAAGAGGUAAAAAUAUUCUUCAUUCAUUUAUUUUUUUAAUGCCAAAUUUCAUUCAAAUCCAUUCUUAAAAAGGCAUAGUAGAGAAAGGCGGACCAGGCAAUCUCUGAGUUGAAAUCGAUCCCAGACAUCCAUCUCUUUCAAAAAGUUCUAAAGGCCGACUACUACAGGGUGCGUGCGCUGGGACUGAUCGGGACGACCUUGUCGGUCCUCACAUUCACGGAAUGAAGUCAACCUUAGAAAGUAGCCGAUCGGGACGAUCAUGCGUCUCAAGAGGAGAAGCAUGGACUGUUGCUAGCGCUCAUAAAUAUCCUUAUGACCCCUGAAGAUGGAGUUGUUUAGUGAAAAAAGGCCCAGCAGAGAGAACAGUCAAGAUAACUAGCGCGGAGUCCGCUUGGCAGGCGGCAGGAGCUGCGGGCAAGUGCUUGCUUGGUAGGCCAACAGCCCUGUGAACCGGGCGGGGCACCUCCGGUUAUAGAUGCCCUAACAAAACUUCAUAAGAAGAUAUCGCGAGAAAUAGUUGAGGAUCGAACUCUAUCUCAAAAGAGAAAUCGAUGUUUUACUACCAGUCACAAGCUUUAUGUUCGGCACAGUACUCAUACUGGAACUUACGAGCAAGAAUUGCGGAUAAGGGAAAGCCCGCUAUAUUAUAUAUAGUAAUCACCUGCCAAAAGGAAAGCCUGACCGAUAAUAAUAAUAGGUCUAUGCGCCGAACAAGCAAUGGUAUAUUAGAGAUAGUAAGGAGUUGUAUACACGGGGGUAUGCAUUCAUGUCACGCUUUCUGUGUGAUAAGAGGUUGCUAGCUAGCAAGUAUAGAAACAGGAGAUAUGCGUAGUUAACAGAAGCAAGGGAAUAUGCGUGAGUUGAUUUGAUAGUUUUUUUGAGAAAAAGCAAUUUCAUGAAGUUGGCCUUAGGUGUAAUAGGACUCCCAGUUACUGCGCGCGAUCGUAUACUGAGGUGCUCCCCGUCGGUUGUUGGAACGACGCGAGCCCCAAAAUAAUGUGACUUGGUCCCAAGGUAGAAAGUGAAGAACACUGAACAGAGCUGAAGCUGCAUGAUUAUGAAAUCCCCCAGGGCGCUUCUGAAGCCUCUUUCUAGUCCAAUCCCCCCACAUCGCGUAUAAAGGGAAUCGAACCCAACUCUUCCACUUGCCGCCAAUGCGGAAGGAUGCCACCAAAAAGAAAGGAGACUGAUCUUAACGUUGGCGUCGGUUUUUCCAAGAAAAGUUAGAUUUGAUUUGUCUUUUUCAUGCGGAACAGAACCGUAUUAGUAAGCGGGCCAGUUAACAGAAGCAAGGGAAUAUGCGUGAGUUGAUUUGAUAGUUUUUUUGAGAAAAAGCAAUUUCAUCUCAAGGGAAAGAUCAGAGGAGGAGAAGAAUGAAGGUGUGGGCGGGAAGGAGGAGGCAAGGCCCCCUCAAUGUUUAUUCGACUACUCAUUACGGAACCACCGAUUGAUCCGAUUAGACUUUCCGUGGUAUGUUGAGUUCUUGAAGCAUUGCCGAUAUCGAUAUAUAUUUCUUUGCAUGGGACAGUAGCCUUUUCUGCGGCGGAACAAGCUAAGAAGUGCAGGCGGCUCUUAUUUGAUAAGAUAAGGCAGAUGGUAUGAUCAAAUUCACUCUUGCGCUUUUUUUUGUAUUGAACGCAUGGCGUAGCUAGGACCCCUCCAAUCAUGUUUGAGCCUAUGUUCACCCGGGGUCCAAAAAGGAGAAUUCCGGAAUGCCUGCCGACGUUCAGAUAAAGUGCAUAUCCCUUACUACUAAAGGAAAGGCUCGACGAAGGGGGGGGAUUUUCCGGGUAAGGAAAAUGCUUUCGGAGAUUGAGAUGUCGAUUUGUUUUUCAUCGAAAAGGAAGAAGGCCGAGGGGAUAGCUGCCUUCCUUCGGGCUUUGCCUGCCGACAUUCUAAUAAAGAAUUCCGGCUCGGCCCGGGAAAGCGCUGGCAACAACAUAAAGAAAGGGGUCCAUGUAGCUGCUGCGCCCGCCCACUGAGCAGCAGGUUCGGCAUCUACUACAAAAGAGAGAAUCCACUUCAGAUAACCACGCCUCUGCUAGGCAGCGUGUGGAAUGGCCGGGAGCGGACCAAAUGGAUAUAUAAUCCAAGCCGAGAGUGGAGUUACGUGAACAGCCGUCUGAUGGAAAACAACUUUCGACUAGGAAAAUGAAGACAAAGGAAUUUGGAAUUACAAGACGGAUAUCAGCUUGCUACUUCUGACUUUGACUUUCAAUAGGGAGGUCAAAAACUAGCACUUUUUUCGAGGAGUGAUCAUGGUUGAUGUCUACUUGCCGGGCUGCCCACCUAAACCGGAGGCGGUUAUAGAUGCCCUAACAAAACUUCAUAAGAAGAUAUCGCGAGAAAUAGUUGAGGAUCGAACUCUAUCUCAAAAGAGAAAUCGAUGUUUUACUACUAGUCACAAGCUUUAUGUUCGGCGCAGUACUCAUACUGGAACUUACGAGCAAGAAUUGCUCUAUCAAUCACCAUCUACUUUAGACAUAUCUUCUUCAACUUUUUGAAAAUCCAAAAGUCCAGUAUCUUCCUACAAAUUAGUGAAUUUGCAGCAUUCUGAAUUCAUAAUUCGAACUGAUCAGCACAGUCUCGUGCAUUUAGAAGAUCAACGACUACACCUUGGCAGCAGAAGGCCUUCACUAAGUUUCUUGGACUUCAAUACCGACGCAAGGGAGCCAAGAAUGGAGCAGCUGAUGCUUUGUCCCGACGCAGCCAUAGAGUCGAUCUUGCAGAUAGGCGGAGGUAUGAUUGCUUGCUCCUUGCAUGUGAAGGUGGGAAACAAGGAAACAGCAGAAAUGCUUACUGGGACAUAGCCUUCGGUACGAGUUGAAGGGAAGAGGAUUGCUUGGAACCUCUAAGACAUGGCACCCCUGCCCCUUCCCGGCUACUGGAUCACUCCAGUGCUUCGGGUACUACGGACCCUCUGCCAUCCAUUGCAGCAGAGCCGUUUCAUGAGCGGGGGGGCUAAGCGCAGUUCUUUGAAUCAAAGGUUUUAUGAAAUCGAAAUUGAUUCUUUUUUAGAUAUCUGGAUAGAUGGAUGGGGCCUGGGAGUGAAUGUGGAAGCUUAACACUAGCAACGGGCAGAACAGUUGGUAAAGGAGAUCAUUGGCACUAUGGCGCAUGUAUGUUGAGUUCUUGAAGCAUUGCCGAUAUCGAUAUAUAUUUCUUUGCAUGGGACAGUAGCCUUUUCUGCGGCGGAUCGUUUCCUUUUCUCCAAUCAUAAAUAACCUGAUCUCUUUCUUUGUCUUUCAUCAAAUAAGUACAAGAAUUGCAUAGAUGAGGAUUCGGUAUUGAUCGCUAAAAUGCGAGAAAAAGACCCACGUUUCUCUGUUCGUCCGCUAUCAGAUCAAAACGGGUAGAAGCAGCUUGUUCUUUCGCGCUAGUGCGCUCAAUCCGUUGCUUGUUCCUUUCCUUUGGAUUUAUUAUCAUAAUAGCGUAGACAAAAGGUAGGACCAGAUCAUGCGAAGAACUCUUCGCCCUAUUGAUUAGGAAUCUCGAUUAGAAACCACCAGGCCAUGUCUCCCGAUAAAAGAUGAUCCCCACAAUGGAUGUCAGGCCUUGGCUUCAUAAAAUCUGAUUGGAUCCGCACUAGAGGAUAAGAAUACAGAUAGGCUGACUUAGAAGAUCUUAAAAUUGGCGUAGACAAAAGGUAGGACCAGAUCAUGCGAAGAACUCUUCGCCCUAUUGAUUAGGAAUCUCGAUCAGAAACCACCAGCCUCGAAUGGAGCAUUACGAGUGCAUGAUUGAGUUGUUUAGUAAGCAUGGUUGAUUUUUAAUCAUUUUUUUCCACCUUAAGGGCCCCAGAAACUUCUAGUUAUUCUCCAGUAGGAAAGGUUCUAGUGACAUUGCUGCUAUUGCUGGAAGUCCCGCAGCUUACUGCUCACGGAAACAUCCGACCUUAUGGUCAAGUCGUCCGCCUAUCUUUCUGAUCUCAUUCGUUUGUAGAUCGCAUAAAAAGCUCUUCGUUGUCUGAGAGGGCAGAAGGCAUCAGACUUGUAGUCUAAAUGCUGUGUAUCUGACAUACUUCAUUCUCUGUGCAGGGUACGAUUUCACUAUGGACAUCCUGAUGUGUUCGACAGGAUUUUUAUCUGGUGACUCCCUUCCCCCUUUUUUCCCAGAAUGAAUUCGCCCGACGCGACGAAUCCUGCCCUCCUGUCUUUCUUUCUCAUUGGCCCCGCUGCCGCUACUGCUCGAAAGCAUGACAGCUCCGCUUCCUCGUCUUGCUUCUACUUUGCUUGUUUGCGCGAAGGCUUAGAGUCCUUUUCGCUAGGUCCAAAUUCGUCAAAGUCGCCACGACGACUCUCCGUCGUGGAAUUAGACCAAGGGUCGAAGACCUAUACCAUAGGACCCCGUCCGAUUUCAGAGCCCACUUUAUUAAAAACUUCGAUUUGAAGCCGAGAACCCACCUAAAAACAAUCAUUUGACUAAAAAAUUCGUUGGAUAGGUGCAUCACGAAAUCGGUACUCAAUCCCUUGCUUGUUCGUGGGAUGGGAGUAUCUCCUAUUAGCGAUGCUCAGAUUUCAAUGGAAGGAAGAUAGUUAUUCCAAUCACUUUUCUCGAUAGGCAGGGCGGGACUCAAGAAACCUGCGUACGGCAGGGCUAGGUUACCAGCGUACGGGCAAGAGAAAUUUUAUCUUCUCGUCAGGUCAUUAGAGGCUCCUCUGGAGGCCAUACAAGAAGGAUCCUUAAUUCAUUGCAAGGCAUUCUCCAAUCCCCAUUCACACUCUCCUUAUUCAUACAUCAGUUCAGCUACAACAAAGAAGAUAUCCUCCCAUUGGUUAGUUGGCUCCCUGUAUGGUUGGUACCUGCUUUCCCGUAAGUCUGUACGGAGAAUCAAUAAAGGCAUCCGCAGUGGAAUCAAACUCAUAAGGGACAGGAUCACCACCAUUCGGUAGACCAAACACCCUAUGAACACUGCCGGCAUGAGAUAUGAGUCGUUAGAGCACAUAUCUCCGUGAUCCCUUCCACAGCUAAACGUAGAUCUCUAUCUUGUAGUGGAGUGUAGAGUAAAGAUAUACCGGAGCGGAGUGCAAGAAGGUUAUAGGGGAGUGUGGCGCCCGCUUGCCCGCCUUUCGUCUCGGUUGAAAAACAAAACCGUUGCUUGCUUUGUGGCCCUAUCGCUUAAGGUUCCUUUUGAGUACGAUCAUAUUAGUGAGAUGAGGCAUAUCUAGAUCCAUCUGAAUCGAACACCCAAACUCAUACCUAGAUUAUAGGAGAGAUCGACAUCUAUAUCAGGGUACACCCAUCUUUCCAAUCAAUUAAAGAAUCGGUGGGUACUAGACUAGAGCCAGGAAUCGAAAGAGAAAUAAAUCGGGAACUUCAGUACUGCAGGCUGAGGACAGUGGUUAAAGAGAGUCAGGGAAUUAUUGGUAGCAUCAAGUUUUUUCUUCUAAUUUCUACUAUUUCUUCCAGGAUCAAAAAUAUUUUACUUGGUUGAGCUUUGUCAACAGAUUGGCAGUGAAAUAGAAACUUUUCUAUGGUGAAAUAUUAGAGAAUAACUAUAUAAAAUAAAAAAUAUCUCUUUGAGAUUUCCCCGCUGGCGCUCGCUCAAUCCGUUCACCAGGGUUCCUUUCCUUUCCUUUACGGUCGAGCUACUUCUCGUUCAUCAUCAAGUGGUUUCAAUUAUAAGAAUAAUUAUACUAGUGAACUAACAAUUUGGCUUUUCAAAGUUCGUUUAAGAAAAUGCAAUGAAAUGUUUAGCAUCUAGUUUAGUGGGUGCUUGCCUAUGGUUCCAUUUAUUAAUUAAUCAAACCAUUUCCUUUUCAUGCCAUCCAUCGAAUUUAAACUUUAUCGUUAUCAUUGGCUGGAAUGAGAAUAGCUGCAGGAUCCAGAUCACCAUUUGUUGUAUCAUAGUUGGAAUGGCUAAAAUAAGACAUUCUUGAAGAGCUAUAUAUUAUUUUUGCUGAUCAAUGAUGAGCACAAUAUCAGGUAACCCUUUUGGAAUGAAAAACUAUGACUUCGUAGUUUUCGUUAGUAGAAACCUAAUUCAUUAAAAUUCCGUCCAGUAAAACGGAAGAAUUAUAAAUUUCUAAAAUAAUAGAUAGGAAUACCGCGAAUAAAGCCAUUGCGACCCCCAUAAAAGGAGUAGUCCCCCAACCCGGAGCUACUUUCCCAUAUUCCGAAUUAAUUGAUCAUAACGAUAUCGUGGAAAUGCUGCACGGACCCAUAUAUAUAGAAACAGAAAAAGAAGAACCUUGAUACUAAACCAGAUCGAACAAGGGAUCUUCUUGGAAAUGGGAAGAUCUAGGAUAGGCGGCCAACCUCCUAGAAAGAGCGAUGUGCAUAGACCGGGUGAGUAGGGAUGCAGCUCCGUGGACCGCUCGUCGGGCCUGAUAGGUGGUGGUAUCACACCCUUCUCCAAGGAACCGUACGUGAGACUCUCGCCUCAUACGGCUGCGUCCUGGAAUCUGGACAGUUUUGUCUUUUGUGCCGAAGCUAUUUAUAAAGCACAGGCCGAAACCGGUGAAAUUAAGGGGCAUUACUUGAAUGCGACUGCAGGUACAUGCGAAGAAAUGAUUAAGAGAGCUGUAUUUGCGAGGGAAUUAGGGGUUCCUAUUGUAAUGCAUGACUACUUAACCGGGGGAUUCACCGCAAAUACUAGUUUGGCUCAUUAUUGCCGCGACAACGGCCUACUUCUUCACAUUCACCGAGCAAUGCAUGCAGUUAUUGAUAGACAGAAUAAUCAUGGUAUGCAUUUCCGUGUAUUAGCUAAAGCAUUGCGUAUGUCUGGGGGAGAUCAUAUCCACGCUGGUACAGUAGUAGGUAAGUUAGAAGGGGAACGCGAAAUGACUUUAGGUUUUGUUGAUUUAUUGCGCGAUGAUUUUAUUGAAAAGAUCGUGCUCGCGGUAUCUUUUUCACUCAGGACUGGGUAUCCAUGCCACGAAGCAGCUUCUCUAAUAACCCCGUUGAAUAGGAGGGCGAAGGCUUUUUCGAACUUAUUUAUAGAGGGGGGCUUCGACCUUCUUAGGAAGAGCCGUACGAGGCUGCUCACAUACGGUUCGGGAGCCGAGCCACGAGUCCAAUUUGAAGUUGUUGAUGUUUAUAUUGGUCAAUCAUAAAAUAGAAAUAAGAAAAGAAUUUAUAUUUAUUCUGAUCAAACUUCUUCCCUAUUAACCUGGAAGUUCUUCUGAGAUACAAGGAAAUGGUUCGUUUUUUUGCUUUUUAGCAGUAAUCAGAAAGUUAGCUCUUUUUCCAGACCAGUGGCCUUGGAGUUCAUCCCCGUCCUCUGCCAGGUGAGAAGGAAGAUGAGAGAUAUGUUCCUUAGAAGUCGUCUUCAACUUUCUUCCAGGAAAGCCUUUCACCGAGUGAGCAGCAGUAAGAAAGGGUUUAGCUAAUGGAGAAAUUGACUCUUCCGAGAACCAGUAACGCGUAAACCAUGUCAAACCAAGACCGAUCAAUAUCCGAACGGAACGGAUAUACCAGUAGUAGAGUGGCUUGAAUCAAAUCGUUUGUCUAGAGGGAGUGUAGCGAUAACCAAAGCUGACUGUACUAGAAACUUUAGAUCCUGUCCGCUCAUAGCACGAUGGAAUUGCGCAAUUGUAGCCCGACGCGCUGCUUCAAUGGCUCGAUAUGAAAGACGACCAGCUCUACAACUUUUGGCCGGCAAAGAAAACCAACACUUAAGACGCUAUUGGAGACUAGCGUAGCUAUUAUUCGAAGCUUAUUAAUUUCUUUACUGCGUUCAAGGCAUGACCGCGUGAUAGGUGUCCUUUUCCCCCUACUCAAGAAGAGUUACAUCUAAGUUCCGAUCGUAAUAUGACAAACAAAUCUUACUUUUUCUUUCCCAAGCUGGCGCGGCUCGGCAAAAGUUGGUUCACUGACCAAAGACGACUUCUUUGUUCUUCAGUAGUUUCCUCCUUGACUAAGCACAUGCUUAAAGAUUUAAGUUCUAAAUAAUUCUAGGUAGCAUAUAAGAACGAGACCUAAGCUAUAAGCCCUAUAAAAGACUGUGCUGAUCGCGCAACUGAUCAUAUCCAGCGACCAAGCAGAUCAACUAGAAGGUCAUAUGUCCACCCGCCCUUUCCUUUGAGAAAUCCUAUUCCUAUCGAUUUAGCUGCAUAGGCAAUACGACAUUACUAUGAAUAAAUGACGAGCGAAUGGUGGCAGUACCAAAUGCCGAAUUAGCGGCUGUACCAAAUGAUCAAUGCCUCUGGGGUUUCCCUUCUCUUCAGCCCUUUUGCUCUUCUAACAACAAUGGUGAACGGCCAUUUGUCAAGGCCCCGGAAUCCGCUGGACAUCCCAGCGGCGGGAUUCGAUACCCGCAUCAGAUCGAAGUGCGGGCUCACUGAAAACCAAACUGUUCGUAUUUCUUUAAAACGCUGCUGCCCUAGCCGGGGGUCUGUCUAUAGAAGAAGGGAAUCCAGAGGAAGAAGCAGCUCCCCGAAGGGUUACCGAAAACUUUGUGAAAAUACUUCUACGAGAAGGUUUUAUUGAAAACGUUCGAAAACCAUAGGGAAAGUAACAAAUCUUUCUUGGCACGUGCCCCUGCUCCUGGUCUUCGAACUAGUCAUUAAUGGUCGGCAACAUAGGUACCCUUUUUCAGUAUGCGUUGCGAACACUUUCAUUUUUAGCGUCUCAUCUUCUCUGGAGAAGCUCAAAUCGGCUUGGGUGCAUCAAAACUUGCAAUACGAAGAUCCCUUUCAGAUCAGCAGGAGGAGCAGGUUGCACCACUGGUUGGGGAGGAAUUCGCGCAGCGGUUUCGAAGACUGAAGCACUUCUUGCAAGUAUCAACAGGUCAGAAUGCCAAAUAAGAGUUUCUUGUGGUCGAAAUCAAAUGGUAACCAGUUUGAGGGGUGAUUGAUCACUAAGCGACAUAUGGCACGAAAAGGAAAUCCAAUUUCGGUAAGACUUGAUCUGAAUCGUAGUUCAGAUCCAAGUCGGUUCAGUGAGGGCGCCCCGACCCAUGUUCAAUCACUGAAGUGUGGUUGAGUGAGAUGAUCCGCAACCAACAAAUGAUUUGUCAUUGUCUCUAAAUCACUGAAUGAAUUCGUUUUUUAUUUAUAUAUGAGAACUAGAGAGUUCACUAGCGCAGAAGGGGAGACCAGAAAAUGCCUUUUGUUUUCCCCCCUUCAGCGGCCCUAGCCGCCUUCGUUAACGAGCCCUCGAGCCUCCUUUGCGCCGCCUUCCUCAUAGAAGCCGUUGGGUUGACCCCGAGGGCCGAAUUCAAUGGUAGAGAAGGCUUUAAUAAGAAUUUGGCCAUGAGGAUAGGCUGGCCCUUACGUAAGGACUAUAUAACACCCAAUUUCUAUGAAAUACAAGAUGCUCAUUGAAUGAUAAGAAAUUCAUGCUCACUUAUACAACACAACUCCUGAUUUUAUUCAAGUCAUUUUUUGAGCAACUAACGCGAAAGCCGUUGCGCGUUAGCGCAUUCGGAACCACACAUUUUUAUACGAUUUUCGGAUCAUUUGAUUUUCAUUUUGAAAACUUUAAAACCUUAUCAGAGAGGGGCCACUAAGGCUGGAUGUUGGCUUCAAGAAAUCUCCUUUAGCAGAUCUCUAGACAGAUGGAUCUUAUAUGAAUCGUAUGAUGAAGUACCACAUGAGUGGAUAUAUAGGAAAGGAAUCCAAAUCUGCCGAAUCGCUCAUGUUAUGAUCUUCUACAUCCAAGGUCUCCGCGUAUCUAUAGCACUAUUCCUCAAUCCACCCGAAGUUAGAGCUAGGCUCAUCGGGCUCGCUUCUCAAUACAAUGCCUUUACCACUGAUUGUUAAUAGAGGCUUCUCAGAAGAAGAACAACAAAAAGUUGUUUCGAAAAAUUCAAGUACCGGCCACACUUCAGUAUCCAUAGAUAUAGAUAGGGCGGAGGCCUUACUACACGAGCUCGUAAGUCAAGCACGGAACGAGCCUUGUCUACGAAGCUUCGCUUCAUCAUCUUGCUUGCUUCUGGCGAAGCUUAACGCACUAUAGUCAGUGAUCUUUUCCAAGGUGUCUAGAGAAACCUGCUUUGAAAAUGUCAUUCGUACCCAAGGAAAGUUUUGGCAGGCAUUACUGUGAUCUUGAAGCCCUUGCUAGGAGCUAGUCGGUACGGCUCACUACUAAAGAAGGUUCUGGCAUGCUUCGAACCGUCUACUUUUCCUUAUCCUUAUGGGAAUUUAAGAGAGAGAUCACUCCACUGAGUAACCGAGAGAGAAGAUUCAGGCAAGUAUGCCGUGCCCUAUUUAAAAUAGAGGCAACGAACGGAGCGUCCCAUCGACUUUACUUUGGCCAAUGAGACUACUAUACGCGUUUUCCGAGGAGCAACAUGAUACUUUCUUUUCCGAGACAACAGAGUUUAGAAAGAUGGAAGCAAAUCAAAGCUAAGGGAAUCUUACUCGACCGAGAGGAAGCGAAGCGCAGACUGGAAAGCAGGAGUUCAGUGAAGUAUGCCUUAGCUAGUUCAAAUACAAAUCUCCCUUUUCUUCAUUUUUGCAUUUCUUAUUCCGCUAUUCCGAAUAUCGCAAAAAUAAAUUAGACAAUAAAUAGAGAAAAGUGCUCACCCCUCCUUUCUCAGUGAGAAGAAUAUUCCCACAUAUACAUGCGGAAGUCGGUCGAGAGCACAGAGCCGGCAGGAGUACUUUGCAAGUGCACCAAUGCCAAAGCUGGACCUUCCUGUUUUUGCUGGUAGCAACCCAGGUGUACCAGGUUUGGGUCAUCGAUAUGGAAGCAGCUAGCUCACUUUCGUUAAAAGCAAAGAUGAUUAUCCACCGUUAGUUAGUAAUGUGGGUUGGCUUGGAUUACUUAGUGUUGCGCGCCUAGGAGGGCAGCGCGCUUGGGGUGCGGAGGAGCUAUUAUCGCCCAGCUCCCUAACCUAAUGCGGCGCGGAUAAUGGUUUGGUAUGUAAGUACUAUAGUUUGGUAGGUUUGAAUUGUGUGGCCAGGGGUAUUGGUUACGAUUCCAGUGGUCUUCAGGCGAGUUGACAAAACUACCCCUAUGCGCAAAAAAUGAAGCUGAUGUGGUUGUUUUGAAUCCAAGAGUGGUGAGUCCAAUCUGUAACUCCAAUUUCCAAUACUGAAAAGCCAAGCCUACUAUUCUUUUUACCGGCGCUUCACGACUUACCACAAAACUAGAGCCGGCGGCAUAAGAUGAAGCCCUAGACAUUCUGCCUGUCUGCUUAGACUCUUUCUAAGUAAGAGAGAGCUCGUUCUAGCUUUGUCAAUCGUGGAAUGAGCAGCUCCAUCCUUACUGUCCUGGUGAAUUAAUUGGGUAAUUAAUGAGCACACUGACUCGGACGGAUUUCAAAUUCCUUUUUCCUUCCUUUUUACGCCACCUCCACCCAAUCCUUGAAGAUAUGAAGCAAUCUUUUAUUAAGACUAAGUGAAGGUUGGUAUGGCCCAAUCCGGAAUCUCGAUCAGAAACCACCAGGCCAUGUCUCCCGAUAAAAGAUGAUCCCCACAAUGGAUGUCAGGCCUUGGCUUCAUAAAAUCUGAUUGGAUCCGCACUAGAGGAUAAGAAUAUAGAUAGGCUGACUAAGAAGAUCUUAAAAUUGUCUUACCUGAAAAGAUGAGUUAUUCAAAGGAAUACCUGAAGAAUAGAAUAAACACAUGGCACAGCGGGCGGGGGACUUGAAAUCCUCUUUAGCUUUGCGCGUUGGACUCUAAAUCCUAACAGAGUGGUUCGAUUCCACCUCAGAACGACCUUCACGAAAGUGAAAAAUCUUCGUCCUACCAAAACUGGAUCUUGAAAAGUGUUCAGUGCCCAACAAGCAACGGGUUGAGCGCACUAGCGCGAAAGCGUUAGCACGCGCAUCCGUUUUCUUGCUUGCCUUGCGAAUUUGCAAAGGACUAACGAGAUUGUUUCUAUCGCCAAGAUGAGCCGCUUCGGGCUCAGGAGACUAUGGUGGUCUAUGAUCUAAUAACUGGUGGUGAGACUGCGGCUCAAGUCCACGUCGUGAGAAAGACUGAGCUAUUCUGUACUUUUCUAACCCUUUGAAGGAUGAAGAUGGCGAAGGAGUAUUGAAAAGAAUGAAUCCGGGUUUUAGCGCUCCUUGAAUCUGGCCUAUACGUAGUGUAAGCCGCCUGCGGCUGCUAAAGGCAAGGUAUGAGGGUGAAAGUAAGCGAAGCCGAAGAUGUGUAUGGUGAGUCGAUACUAAAGCAAUCCCGGAAUUUUUCAUUGGAUGGCAGUAAAGAGUCUCCUUCCCGAACCUGAUAUGCGAACAAACAGGGUUAGCGGAAACAGGAAAUGUAGUAAUUCGAGUAAGUCCAACCUUCAAGGAAGAAGGAAGGCAAUCCGUCGCUUGUUCGUUGCAAGUUCUUAUUGCUCCGGAUCCCCGUUUACUAGGAAGAUAAGAAUCAAAAGGAUCGAACUACCUACUCAUUAUUCGGAGAUGAAUCAUAGAACACUAAUCCUGCUUUUAGUACAUUGCUUUUCGUAUCAUCUAUGAGAAUUCUCGUUUCAGAAACUCCUCAAUAUUGUCGUUAUGGCAAUUCUAACCAUGUAGAUUUUAUUACCAAAUUGUAGUUUUUUCUUUUGCCAAUUCCACGCCUCUGUAAAAAAAUGCCUAAAAGGGAGGGCGAGAGUUGAAGUGGAUGGCCCUUCUAUCACCUGAAAGGCUGAAACUCAGGCAUGGCUUUACAUGGCACACAUGCUUUCUUUCAGGCUGUUUUGGCUCGCAAUAAAGCUAGGGUCCUGAUCGAGCAAGACUGCCCCUGUCGGUCCCGAUCAGUCCCAUUGACCGUGAAGCCUGCUCUCGAUUUGUAGUCCCCGUGCAUGAAGUCAGUGGAUUCGAGUGAACUGACCGUACUACAAAUCGACAUACUUGAGAAAGCUUCUUACUAAACCAAAGAAAGGGCAGCUCCAGUUGUGUUGUCGAUUCCCUUCUCCCGAGAGCUUUCACACUCUGGGAUGGGAGUCCCUUCCAAGACUUGACCAAAAGCUUAUCUCUUGAAUCCCAGAGAUAAGAGCGACAACCAGGCGUACCUCAUCUUUCCCUAUUGAAGCAAAACCAGUGGUUUCUUGGUCACGACCAGCUAAAACAAAAGUUCCAUUAAAGAGAGUUUCCACGUGGUAGUAAUAGACGACCAUUUCGCGCGGUUCGGGGGCACUUGAAUAAGCCGCCGGCCCCCGGCUGCGUCUUUACCCCUAUCCAAUUUUCCUCCCAAUCGAAUUGUUAAGUAUGUUUUUUCCCUUUCGAGAAAUGGUGGCAGUACCAAAUGCCGAAUUAGCGGCUGUACCAAAUGAUCCUGGAUAGAGUCUCGCUCAUAAAGGAAGAGGAGCGCGCUAGCGCGGCUCGCUUCGCUUUUCGACGCGGAGCUCGCUGCUGUUGAAGCCUGCUUCUGGUUCUGAAUCACAAGCAAGCCUAAUAAGAGUUUCUUUUCAUCUUACAUGAGUUGGCAAGGAGUUGUUCUUGGCAGAUCUCUCCCCUGCUUUAUUGCGAGCCUUGACAGGUUACAUUGGCAGAAAUAUGGAAACUUCUCUUGGCAGGUUAUAUGGAAACUUCUCUUGGCAUAUGACUUCCAUCUUUCUAUGGAUUUUCUGGUUCUGAAUCACAAGAACCUCAUCCCGGCAGCGAGACUGCGUUCACUCGAAACAAAAAUAGACGAGUACUAUGGUAGGAACGCUUCAACUGCAGAGCCCUGAAUGCGUUAGUGAGGUUCCCUCUAUGAGAGAAAGAGAGGUUGGUGAACCGGCGGAUCCGUUUGCAACUCCUCUGGAAAUAUUACCCGAGUGGUACUUCUUUCCCGUGUUUCAAAUACUCCGUACAGUACCUAAUAAGUUAUUGGGCAUUCUCUUAAUGGUUUCUGUGCCGACGGGCUUAUUGACAGUACCUUUUCUAGAGAAUGUCAAUAAAUUCCAAAAUCCGUUUUUCAACUGGCUCUAAUGCAAAUUUAUAAAAUAAAGAAGAGUUCCGUCAAGCGUCGUAUUAGCUUUGUUUGUUCAGAGCUAUGUACCAUGAUCUUCCCUUCCCCCGGCACAAUGUUUGAUGCUUCUUGGGGCUUCUUUGGCGACCGUGAAGUCACCGGAUGAAUUGCCGAGUAGAUAGAUCAGAUCCGGAUGCUGCAGUUGUUCCGCGGUGAUACGGACUCGACCCGCGGACGACAAUAGUCUUUCUCUUUUUUCACUCGAGCCAUACCGAUGCUUUGGACUCCUUGAUGCCAAGGGAGGUUUAUGAGUUGUAUCCUCCUUACGAGAUAGCGGAAGUAGCAUUAGCAGGAAAAGUAAGCUCCUUUUCAAGCCUUCUCUUUCGUAACCUUUGAUUAGUUCCUUGGAUGCCCUUAGCAAGAAUGAUGCAGGAGCAAUACCAAAGUGUUUCAAUGAAGGAUUACCUUGACUUAGGUCUGCCUCCGGCCUAAAUUAAAUCAACCUAAGUUAAAUGGAGUCUCUAUCGUUCUGCUGCAAGAGUGGAAUAUGAGACUUCAUACACCUUAAAGUUUAUAGAACGAAAAGAAUUUUUUUGGAGGUCCUCAUUACGCCUAGCAUUUAGUGGGCUGGAUAUUUACCUUUGAAACUAGCAAAUCAAUAAGGGUUCUAUUUGAUUAGGCACCUGAAUCGGACUGAACCUGGAUCCAAUUUUAAGGACAAAUCCUGAUGUUGGUAAAAUAUACGUGUAGAUCAAGGCCAAGGACAAUGAAGCAGCCCUCCCCUUGUAGCUGGGGUAGACUGGUAGUAGUUUCACCUAUAAAAUUUUGCAUUUGUGGAAUGUAGGUUGGAACUACCUGUUCCGGGAUUGUAGAAAGGAAGGGCUCCACAGUUGAAACUACCUGUUCUGGCAUUUCCGAAAGGAAAGGCAGGACAGCUAAAAAUAAUUCGCUGUCAGCCGCAGUAUAGAUACUUCGAGUUUUGGUAACUCUGGAAGUAGCGCUACAGAUUGAAGUUUUUCUGCACCCGAUUAUCAGUUCUCGUCGACCACCGUGACGUCACCUAGCUUUAUUCUAAAUUUAUCAUUCUAUCGGUAUGUAUAGUGUCUUUCAUCUGCUUUUUCAUUCAUUCUGCCCACAGCCCUCCACAAACUUUGGUAACUCCAACUUCAACCUCGAUUUUAUUAAUAACUACUUACGAGACCUUCUUUGGUACAUAUCCCUUAUCUCAAGUUUUUGAUCAAACCAAUCCAUUGACACAAACGUAUGCUGCCUUGCCUGAUCUUACUAGAGUGAGUUUCCUUCGCUAACGAGAUGAUGCAUAUUCUCACUCUGGACUAUUCCCAGAUUUACAACCAACAACUAGUCUUAUCUCAUGGGCGUAAAAAGACAUCAUAGAUAACAACUAAUUCUCAUAAAGUUCUUUCGGUUCAAGGGAGGGUUACUUACAAGUGGAGUCUGGCGAGGAUCUUUUGUUUCCUUAAGAACAAUCCUAAUCACAUAUCCAAACCAAAGAAGAUGAUAUUUAUUUGAUAAAGCGCAUUCUAUUAUCGUAUUGCGACACUGCUCCUAUCCCUAACGCUAGCUCUGUUGACUUCAUUCCUUGUCGGUCUAUGGCACUCAUUUAGAUCAAUAAAAGGCCGCUUUACAACCAGGGCGGGUCUCGCUGCCGGAUCAAUGCGCAGGACGCACGAUCUACAAACAACAAUAGAGAGAGCCAACCAAGAACGAAAGAACCUGGAAACAAACCCGCGAGCGAAUACCAAACAGAGUAAGAAGGAGGAAGGGCCGAAGGCGUUGGCAUCCAACAAUGUUGGAUGAGUGGAACAGAAAGGAAUGGCACGGAAAGGGUUUUAGGGAACUAGAAUAAAGAUAAUUAGUUUUCAUAUUUUUCAAUAUAAAUAUGAAUUUAUUACGAAUAGGAAUUAUGAAUUGGUACUAUUAGUAGGGAAGGAAGGGCUUCCUCCCCUCUUCUUCCAAAGCAUACGGCUUUCUAGAUGUAUAUGACGAUCUCUAGACAGAUGGAUCUUAUAUGAAUCGUAUGAUGAAGUACCACAUGAGUGGAGGGAAGGUAUAGUUGAAGGUAUGAGGAUGAGGAUUAGAAUUUCAUUCCAUUGCUUUGUUAGAGGGAGAGGAAGCUUCGAUUGGGGGAUACAAUAAUUCCAAUCUUCUGCACGAUCCUUUGGAGCCGGGGGUUGGAUAAAACACAGAACUAAAUCGACUUCCUUACCAGCAUGUCUGGGAUUCCUGUGGUUCUUACUGCCCCGGUGAAUGUGUAGGUACGAAUGACUAUCAAAGAAAGUGAGACCUGGAAUUCCUCCUUCUAUGCCUCCUCAUCUGUCUCGCCUGCAAAUCCUGCUAACAGCCUAGUCUAUUAGGAAACAGCUGAUUCAAUUGCUAAAACUGCUGUUUGAGAAGGGACUAACGGCACUGGCUCUUUCAAGUCUUUCGUGCGGGUAUACGUUGAGCUAGUCCUCUUACUCCUUUUCUUAGCUCUUUUAGAAAAAAUCUUAUUUUUCAUCGUGUCAGGUCUUGGAUGUAGACUCGGCUAUGGUAGGAUCGACCUAAUUGUGAUCAUUCUCCGCUUCGUUCGCUGAUCUCUUGCUAUUGCUGCAGUCCAUGGUCCGGUAUGGAAUGAACUUAUAAUCUGAUGAUCGAGUCGAUUCCAUGAUUAUAAGUUCAUUACCCUAGCGCCCAUUCCCAUUUUGGGCUGUUACGCCAGAAAUCCAAGGUUCCACACGAGCUCCUGUUCUGCGGCGUGGUGGCAGGACCGCUAGGGGAUUGGCUCCGGGUGUAGGUAGGGUCAAAUCCGCAGGGGUCAUGCAAAUACAUAGGCCCCUUCCCUUCUGCCGAGUUGUUUAGAAGGCGCUUUCCGUUCUACGGUCCCUCGGAGCGAAGGGUUAGGCAGGUAGUACGGGCCCUCUGACUUCCAGCUAUGCGCUGUGUGCGACUCCCGCGAAGCGAAUGAAGGGAAGCUCUUCGAGCUUUCUCCGCCUACUGACUCACUUUUAGGACAUAUUUGUACAUCUUUUGUCUCUAUCCUAGUCAACUGGUACGCAUGGCGUAAAUAAAGAUGACCCGACCACCCCUGUUCACCUUCCUCAAACCCAAUUCAAAUGAUGGCUGUGAAAGUCAGAAUCCUGAUGUCUCCAUUGACAAUAUCGACACCAAACCUUCUCGUAAUUCACAAUGCCAGAAUUUGGCUUAGCUGGAUUUGCGGAUGGCGGGGAAUUCAUUGACUAACUUGGCCUUGAUUGAUGAUCCAUCAACUCGUGGCUUUACAUUGAGAACAAAGCUUUGCUGACCCUUGCUAGGCUCAAGUCAAUUUAUCAAGUUUAGGCAUUUCGAUUUGGAUUUAAAAUAAAACCUUCAAGACAGAAAAAGACUCCCUUUUCUUCCUAUUGAUCUUGACGUCGGAAAUGGUUGGUUUUAAUGCUCGCACAGACGAAAUAGAACACCGGAUUGGACCUUAGCCGCUCGGGAAUAGAAUCCUUCACCACCCCAUUGGAAAAGUUGAUCUUCUAAAUUCAUAUGUUUAGCCUAAAGUACAUAACUUGUGUUCCUCCCUAGUUCUUGCCAUGCCACCUAAUCAAGCCUCACCUCAUUUGUAGUUAUAACAUGUUCAGCUGAAAGCAAACUAAAAAAAAAAGGCACUCCUCAGCGAGGACGCGGGUUUUAAAGUAGGUUCUACACAUUCGAGAAGACCCAGGCGGAUUGGAGUGGUUGUGCGCCGGGGCAAUCUCUGCUUGCGUUUUCCAAUAAGUUCUAUUGCUUUGACACAUUUAGUAUAUAACUGAAUAGAAAACGGAAUAAAAGCGGAUAAGAUAGCGUAUUAGGCCGACAAGUAGGAAGCAUAGCGGGGACAAGUUAUUACCGGUUUGAGGGGACAAUGGUUUUCUAGGUUGUUUCACCAAUCUGUUGAAUUGGAAUGGAGCUCACGACCGUGAAACCCCUCGUUGUUUGAUGGCACCUAUCUUGUUCCCUUCAGGGAGAAAUACUACUCACUUUUCCUCUAUCAAAAAGCCAAUACCGACGCUCGCUUAUCAGCUUACCAGUUCAAACCUCCUUGCUCUGCCUUUUAUACCAGAUGCCUCCUCUCUUAAACCAAGGCAUACUCUACUGGCUUUCCUUCUCUAAACUAUUCUUUAUCUGCUAUCUAUGCUAUUCCAUGCAUACUUGAGCUACAGCCUUUUUCAACCUUUUGAACU